This 253-nucleotide ribosomal RNA is filed under the name uncultured bacterium. Its description in RNAcentral is "partial 16S ribosomal RNA". It matches the Rfam family "Bacterial small subunit ribosomal RNA", at positions 524 to 776 of the family's 1533-position model. The record is from RNAcentral.
UACGUAGGGUGCAAGCGUUAAUCGGAAUUACUGGGCGUAAAGCGUGCGCAGGCGGUUCGCUAAGACCGAUGUGAAAUCCCCGGGCUUAACCUGGGAACUGCAUUGGUGACUGGCGGGCUAGAGUAUGGCAGAGGGGGGUAGAAUUCCACGUGUAGCAGUGAAAUGCGUAGAGAUGUGGAGGAAUACCGAUGGCGAAGGCAGCCCCCUGGGCCAAUACUGACGCUCAUGCACGAAAGCGUGGGGAGCGAACAGG